AUCGCUUCUCGGCCUUUUGGCUAAGAUCAAGUGUAAAAACUGGUCUGGUCAAGAGGUCCCGGUGUUGGCAACGCAAGCCCCU
Non-coding RNA from Pelobates cultripes (western spadefoot toad), 82 nucleotides. The record is from the annotation of a GenBank genome assembly. Lineage: Eukaryota; Metazoa; Chordata; Amphibia; Anura; Pelobatidae.